This 570-nucleotide long non-coding RNA is filed under the name Homo sapiens (human). Its description in RNAcentral is "non-protein coding lnc-EIF1AY-4:1". Lineage: Eukaryota; Metazoa; Chordata; Mammalia; Primates; Hominidae. The record is from RNAcentral.
GAAAUGUUGUGCAGAAAAAACAUAGAUAUGUGUGAUUUUCCAGAAAAUUGCAAUGGAACAUCUGCACUUUGUGUACUUGAUGUGAAAGCUCCUGAUUUAGGAUACUGCAAUAAUAAGACUAGCUAUUGCUUUAAAGGAGUAUGUAGAGAUAGGGAUAGACAGUGUGCACAGUUAUUUGGAAAAUUUUCUAGGUCUGCUAAUCUUCUGUGUACAGAAGAAGUGAAUUUUCUAAAUGACAAAUUUGGAAAAUGUGGUUCCUGUUGUCAUUUUUAUGAUAUCAUUUAUGGAAAGAUUGUCUGUCACUGGACACAUUCAGAACCAGUAUCAAUGACAGACUUUGAUAUACAAUAUACUUACUUUGGAGGUCACGUAUGUUUGUCGGCACAUGCAAGAAAUGGUUCAAAACAUGAGGGACAUAUACAGAACCUGUGACUACUUGUGGUCAGCACAAGGUAUGUAGAUUCCAAGGAUGCAGAUAUCUUAGUGUAAUAAAUAUAACAAGAUUUAACAAAUUGCAGAGAGAUUGUGGUUUGCAAUGAACAUUUCCAUUGUCAGUGUGAUCCUGGUUAU